AUUGAACGCUGGCGGCAGGCCUAACACAUGCAAGUCGAAUGGUAACAGGAAACUGCUUGCUGUUUCGCUGACGAGUGGCGGGCGGGAGAGUAAUGACCGUGAAACUUCCUGAUGGAGGGGGCUAAGUACUGGAAACGGUAGCUGAUACCGCAUAACGGCGCAAGACCAAAGAGCGGGAGCUUCGGGCCUAUUGCCAUCAGAUGUGCCCAGAUGGGAUUAGCUAGUAGGUGGGGUAAAGGCUCACCUAGGCGACGAUCCCUAGCUGGUCUGAGAGGAUGACCAGCCACACUGGAACUGAGACACGGUCCAGACUCCUACGGGAGGCAGCAGUGGGGAAUAUUGCACAAUGGGCGCAAGCCUGAUGCAGCCAUGCCGCGUGUAUGAAGAAGGCCUUCGGGUUGUAAAGUACUUUUGUCGGGGAGGAAGGGAGUAAAGUUAAUACCUUGGCUCAUUGACGUUACCCGCAGAAGAAGCACCGGCUAACUCCGUG
Molecule: ribosomal RNA, 490 nt
Filed under: uncultured bacterium
Lineage: Bacteria
Description: partial 16S ribosomal RNA
Rfam family: Bacterial small subunit ribosomal RNA
Source: RNAcentral